AAAGACUUAAUUCUUGGUUUUUCAUGUCCAACGUUUGACUGUUCAUCUUAUAUAAAAUUUUUUUAUAAUUAGUAUAUUUAUUAUUGUUAGAUGAUAAAGCAUGAAUAAUAUUUUAUGCAUGACUUAUCUUUUUAAAUUUUUUUAUAUUUUUUAAAUAAGACGAACAGUCAAACGUUAGAGACGGAAACUCAAG
Molecule: non-coding RNA, 193 nt
Organism: Oryza meridionalis
Lineage: Eukaryota; Viridiplantae; Streptophyta; Magnoliopsida; Poales; Poaceae
Source: Rfam